GUUUUGCUGUUAGUAUCAUUCUUAGUAUGUGGAUUCAUUGUAUAAUAUGUCAACCUAUAGAAGGACCCAGUCCCAGAUCUUUUCGGACACUUUGGCCAGAGGACCGAUGAUGAUGUCCUCUUUCGUCGGCCGCUCUACUCCAACUGCCGCUCUCCCCUCCAUUUGCUUAUUCAACUUCCUCCGGAUGUUGUUCGUUUCUUCCGACUGUGUGAUAUUAAACAACGCAACAUUCUCACGGAAGAUCACCGAUUUCCCUGAGUAUCAUUAUACCGUCGCGAUUACAUAUUUAAUAUAAAUUUUCUGGUUAUACAAUACGAAGAUAUAUAUAUAUAUAAGUACACAUACAAGAAAAACAUAUUAUAUAAGUGAUAUUAUAAGUGAAAGUGAUUAUAAUGGAUGUUGACAGUCUCGGUCUUGACAUAAACAACAAAUGUCUAAUGACCUCCCCGACCAACGGCAUGAACUUUAUUCACAGCAAUAGAUGGAGGAGGCUUCUGAAAAUAUCACGCGCUUAAGGGCCGGUUUACGCUGGAGCGAGUGCGCGAGAGACGCGUGUCUGCGAUGUCCC
RNAcentral lists this long non-coding RNA (568 nucleotides) under Androctonus crassicauda. The record is from RNAcentral. Lineage: Eukaryota; Metazoa; Arthropoda; Arachnida; Scorpiones; Buthidae.